This 492-nucleotide ribosomal RNA is filed under the name uncultured Lactobacillus sp. RNAcentral's name for it is "bacterial SSU rRNA". It matches the Rfam family "Bacterial small subunit ribosomal RNA", at positions 59 to 507 of the family's 1533-position model. Lineage: Bacteria; Bacillati; Bacillota; Bacilli; Lactobacillales; Lactobacillaceae. The record is from RNAcentral.
AAGUCGAACGCGUUGGCCCAAUUGAUUGAUGGUGCUUGCACCUGAUUGAUUUUGGUCGCCAACGAGUGGCGGACGGGUGAGUAACACGUAGGUAACCUGCCCAGAAGCGGGGGACAACAUUUGGAAACAGAUGCUAAUACCGCAUAACAACGUUGUUCGCAUGAACAACGCUUAAAAGAUGGCUUCUCGCUAUCACUUCUGGAUGGACCUGCGGUGCAUUAGCUUGUUGGUGGGGUAAUGGCCUACCAAGGCGAUGAUGCAUAGCCGAGUUGAGAGACUGAUCGGCCACAAUGGGACUGAGACACGGCCCAUACUCCUACGGGAGGCAGCAGUAGGGAAUCUUCCACAAUGGGCGCAAGCCUGAUGGAGCAACACCGCGUGAGUGAAGAAGGGUUUCGGCUCGUAAAGCUCUGUUGUUAAAGAAGAACACGUAUGAGAGUAACUGUUCAUACGUUGACGGUAUUUAACCAGAAAGUCACGGCUAACUACGUG